This 253-nucleotide ribosomal RNA is filed under the name uncultured bacterium. Its description in RNAcentral is "partial 16S ribosomal RNA". It matches the Rfam family "Bacterial small subunit ribosomal RNA", at positions 524 to 776 of the family's 1533-position model. The record is from RNAcentral.
GACGGAGGGUGCGAGCGUUGUUCGGAUUGACUGGGCGUAAAGGGCGUGUAGGCGGUCGGCCAAGUCUGGUGUGAAAGCCCGGGGCUCAGCUCCGGAAGUGCGCCGGAAACUAGCUGGCUGGAGCGCGGUAGAGGAGGGUGGAAUUCCUGGUGUAGCGGUGAAAUGCGUAGAUAUCAGGAGGAACACCGGCGGCGAAGGUGGCCCUCUGGACCGUUGCUGACGCUGAGACGCGAAAGCGUGGGGAGCAAACAGG